GGGAGUUCUGGAGCGUGCUGCGGGUGCAUUAGCAAAUUUGGCGGCAGAUGACAAAUGUAGCAUGGAAGUAGCAGCAGUAGGUGGUGUACAUGCUUUAGUAAAGCUUGCUCAGGAAUGCAAAGCUGAAGGAGUUCAAGAGCAGGCUGCCCGGGCACUUGCAAAUCUUGCAGCUCAUGGAGAUAGCAAUAGUAACAAUGCAGCAGUUGGACAAGAGGCAGGAGCUCUUGAAGCACUUGUGCAACUUAUUCGAUCUCCUCAUGAUGGAGUCAGGCAAGAAGCUGCUGGAGCAUUGUGGAAUCUGUCAUUUGAUGACAGAAAUCGUGAAGC
RNAcentral lists this unclassified non-coding RNA (327 nucleotides) under Hevea brasiliensis (rubber tree). Lineage: Eukaryota; Viridiplantae; Streptophyta; Magnoliopsida; Malpighiales; Euphorbiaceae. The record is from RNAcentral.